GACGAACGCUGGCGGCGUGCUUAACACAUGCAAGUCGAACGGAAAGGCCCUGCUUUUGUGGGGUGCUCGAGUGGCGAACGGGUGAGUAACACGUGAGUAACCAGCCCUUGACUUUGGGAUAACUUCAGGAAACUGGGGCUAAUACCGGAUAGGAGCUCCUGCUGCAUGGUGGGGGUUGGAAAGUUUCGGCGGUUGGGGAUGGACUCGCGGCUUAUCAGCUUGUUGGUGGGGUAGUGGCUUACCAAGGCUUUGACGGGUAGCCGGCCUGAGAGGGUGACCGGCCACAUUGGGACUGAGAUACGGCCCAGACUCCUACGGGAGGCAGCAGUGGGGAAUAUUGCACAAUGGGCGGAAGCCUGAUGCAGCAACGCCGCGUGCGGGAUGACGGCCUUCGGGUUGUAAACCGCUUUCGCCUGUGACGAAGCGUGAGUGACGGUAAUGGGUAAAGAAGCACCGGCUAACUACGUG
This 468-nucleotide ribosomal RNA is filed under the name uncultured bacterium. RNAcentral describes it as "partial 16S ribosomal RNA". It matches the Rfam family "Bacterial small subunit ribosomal RNA", at positions 28 to 507 of the family's 1533-position model. The record is from RNAcentral.